GAACAGUUAAUAGCUGUGCAAGUAGAAGGCGAACACCAAGUUAUAUGCAGCCAAGAUGGAAAUUGACUUCACAGGAAAAACUGUGCUGGUAACUGGGGCUGGAAAAGGUAAAAGUAGCUUGACUUGCAGACUUAUUUACCUUUGUGUGUGGACUGAAAUAACAAUAGUAGACUUAAUACGAAGGGCCUAGGCUCGAAACAUCGAAGUUUUGCUUAUAUUUUUCAGGUAGUUGUAUAUCUUUCACACCAAAGUCCCGAUAAUGAGAGUACAGUUUAUGAGAGUUGGCAGUCACACGGAAUUGUUAUACGUAAAGAAAAUUUCAAGCUCAAGAUUGUGUUUGUUUCUAUGCAGGGACAUUUGGACAUGUAGAGGCAUAACAGAUAUAUAAACAAGAAAUGCAACUAAAAACAAUUUUAACACAUUUUAAAAGAAUUUGUUCGAAUAAUUUAGAAUAAAACGG
Paramuricea clavata is the source of this 460-nucleotide non-coding RNA. The record is from the annotation of a GenBank genome assembly. Lineage: Eukaryota; Metazoa; Cnidaria; Anthozoa; Malacalcyonacea; Plexauridae.